GCGCUUGAUCUUCCGGGGUCUCAGCCUUUCGGCUCAACAAGAGGUGAGAAGCGUCUGCGGUGGCGAUGAAGUCUCCCUGCUCACACAAGAGGAUGUAUGUGAACGUGUGGGCCCUCCCUACUUUUAUAAAGGGCGAGAUGGCAGCAGUGGCGCUCUGCAGUUCCUGCGGUGCCGCCACGAGAGACAUACACUUAACAAUCCGCUUACACAUCAAAAGGUGACCGCGGCGUGCAGGAAGCUCUCUCGAUCAAGUGCCAGGUAACGUCGCACCCAGCCUUCUCGUCCUCGGGAUCGACGUGCGCUCGGUCCGGCUGCUUUAGGACAGGCAAAAACGACCCAGCCGGGUGAGGGGGAUGGAGGGGGACCACUCCACUCCAUUGGCCCAAUGAAGAACACCUGACGUGUGCAAGCGAUAACGAAACCUCGACGUGGCCCGGCGCACACAAGUGGUGAAACAGGGCAGCAUCCGCCCGUCCCCCUUCGCGUCCCACUACGAGACCCGCCUCCACGCUCUUCAAGCUGCCCACGGUGCGUGACCUCGACGUGGCACUCCGUGAAAUCAGCUGCGGCUCCUCCCCGGGCGUCGACGAGGGUGACGGUGAGGCCAUCGACCCCCCUCCCGGUGCACGGCAGCGGGGGGAGCGCUGCUGGCAAUCGCCAACCAGAGCGCCACCAACAGCCGCGUCGCUGGUGCAUGGAAAGGGGAGACUCCCCUUCUACCUCAUUCCCCCCUCCUAAGGCCGCACAACCCCGAUGACGCUCCCGCGUCCCGCCGCCCCCGUUGCACGGAACAGCACUCUGCGCCUGUUAACCGAGCAAACAAUCUAGCGAGGACUGCGCGAUUAUCUGCAAAACAGACCCCCACCACAGCAGUUUGUCUAACGUCCUCAGCACUUCACCGCAGACCCUCCACCCCCCCUCCUCCCCCCUUCCGCUGCCGCCGGACUCUCUCCUCCACAAUGCCGUCAGGCACCAGACGGGCACCGUGACUGGAGCAGCGUUUGUGGACGCUACGCGUGCGCGUGUGGCUGGGCAGAUGACGGCGCUGCCAUCACGGCACCGAGGAGGCUCAGCGUAGACCUUCGCCUAACUCGCUGGACCAUGAACGCGUCUUGCGAUGGUGGCGCCCGUGCUGGCCUCGAGAAGGCUGCUUCCGAGGCGGCCUUCCCCUUCAUCACGUGGAGUGGUGUCGCUGAGUGUGGUGCUCGGCAAGGCACACGGACUGCGCCACGCCCUCUGUGCUGAUGACCGCACAUUCCCGAAGCCCUCCACAGCCGACGAUUUCAUAGGCGCCACACUACCGUCCGCCCUCUGGAAGGCAGAGCACUGCACACGGGAGCGCUUCGUGGGUGUGUGGGCGCCCCCUCCCCCUUCCCCCCAGGAGGCAGCACACCGUGCUUGGCGCGCGACACCGCAACGAGCCGAGGAUGCGGUAGUGCGAGCGGUGCGCGCGGGCGGUGCCCGGCACCGCUGGCACGGCGCAUCGCAUCGCAAGGCGGCGCGACGGGGUCUACACGGAUGAGCCCCACAGUGCGUGCGUGCGAAGCAAGCGGCAUCCCCUACGUGCGACCUGGCUGCGCGGAUGGGGCGCUGACGCCGGCGGCAUGACGAGGGCAGCCCGAGUGACACGGCCGAGUGCUCCAGACUCCGCACUGUGAAGGGCGCCCGCACCGUACUGUGGAAUGCCGCGGCUUGAGGUGGUUUUGGGCGGAACGUGGCAUGCAGGCAGUGUGCGCAUGGCCUGCGAGAGCCCUGACCUGAGGCUGGCCCGCUUCCUCCCGGAGCUGAUGCGGCGCCUGCACGCAGACCACCCCCUCGUGCCCGCACGACAGACGCCACGGCUGCUGCCCUCGAGCGCGACCGUGGGCGCAGCAGGCAUGCGAAGGGGGAAAGGGGAAGAGCUCGGCAGACGCUGUGCCCGAUCCGACGGCAGGACGCUUCGUUGUAGACGACCACGAUGAAGCCGUGGUGCCACGGAGGCCGGUGAGCUGUGGUUGUGCACGCGUCUGUUUGUUGACGUGUUCGAGGCGCAGCGGACGCGCUGGCACGGAAAAGCAGACGAGAGUAUUUUGUUCUUCUUCAGGUAUCCGUUGGCGGCUCUGCAGCGAUGAGCUUUUGCUCUCUUUUUUUUUCGUUCGUAGUUAAAGGCUCCGUGUUCUUGUUGUGCUCUCCAGUGUAGUUUUCUUUUUUUUCUACCGUUCCUUUCUUUUUUCGUUUUUGCCUACUUUUGUGCCUUCGCAUUUUUUUCUUUGUUGUGUCGGACGCUCACCUGCACAGAUUUGCGGGUGUUGCCGUUUGUUUGUCUGUUGCUUGUGUGCACGUGCUUUGGUGUCCGUGAACGUUUCCCUUCUGUGCGCAUGAGCAUUGACUCUGCCGCUGGCCUUUUCAGUGAAAUAUCGUUUUAUGGAGCCUUCUCUUUUUGCUUGAAAGCGUCGUUGUGCUGCCUUCGAUUUUUUCCAAGGUUCACGUGCAUUGGACUGGCGCCUACUGGUGUUCCACUUUACGUUCACAAGAGAUG
This 2518-nucleotide unclassified non-coding RNA is filed under the name Leishmania donovani. RNAcentral's name for it is "gene:unknown". The record is from RNAcentral. Lineage: Eukaryota; Euglenozoa; Kinetoplastea; Trypanosomatida; Trypanosomatidae.